CCUACGGGAGGCAGCAGUGAGGAAUAUUGGUCAAUGGACGAGAGUCUGAACCAGCCAAGUAGCGUGAAGGAUGACUGCCCUAUGGGUUGUAAACUUCUUUUAUAAAGGAAUAAAACGAGGCACGUGUGCCUUUUUGCAUGUACUUUAUGAAUAAGGAUCGGCUAACUCCGUGCCAGCAGCCGCGGUAAUACGGAGGAUCCGAGCGUUAUCCGGAUUUAUUGGGUUUAAAGGGAGCGUAGAUGGGUUUUUAAGUCAGUUGUUAAAGUUUGCGGCUCAACCGUAAAAUUGCAAUUGAUACUGGGAGUCUGUAGUACAGGUGAGGUAAGCGGAAUUCGGGGUGUAGCGGGGAAAUGCUUAGAUAUCACGAAGAACCCCGAUUGCGAAGGCAGCUUACUAAACUGUGACUGACAUUGAUGCUCGAAAGUGUGGGUAUCAAACAGGAUUAGAUACCCUUGUAGUC
Molecule: ribosomal RNA, 460 nt
Filed under: uncultured bacterium
Lineage: Bacteria
Description: partial 16S ribosomal RNA
Rfam family: Bacterial small subunit ribosomal RNA
Source: RNAcentral